Molecule: ribosomal RNA, 468 nt
Filed under: uncultured bacterium
Lineage: Bacteria
Description: partial 16S ribosomal RNA
Rfam family: Bacterial small subunit ribosomal RNA
Source: RNAcentral
GACGAACGCUGGCGGCGUGCUUAACACAUGCAAGUCGAACGGAAAGGCCCUGCUUUUGUGGGGUGCUCGAGUGGCGAACGGGUGAGUAACACGUGAGUAACCUGCCCUUGACUUUGGGAUAACUUCAGGAAACUGGGGCUAAUACCGGAUAGGAGCUCCUGCUGCAUGGUGGGGGUUGGAAAGUUUCGGCGGUUGGGGAUGGACUCGCGGCUUAUCAGCUUGUUGGGGGGGUAGUGGCUUACCAAGGCUUUGACGGGUAGCCGGCCUGAGAGGGUGACCGGCCACAUUGGGAGUGGGAUACGGCCCAGACGCCUACGGGAGGCAGCAGGGGGGAAUAUUGCACAAUGGGCGGAAGCCUGAUGCAGCAACGCCGCGUGCGGGAUGACGGCCUUCGGGUUGUAAACCGCUUUCGCCUGUGACGAAGCGUGAGUGACGGUAAUGGGUAAAGAAGCACCGGCUAACUACGUG